Molecule: ribosomal RNA, 496 nt
Filed under: uncultured bacterium
Lineage: Bacteria
Description: bacterial SSU rRNA
Rfam family: Bacterial small subunit ribosomal RNA
Source: RNAcentral
AAAUGAAUAGACGGGGGCCCGCACAAGCAGCGGAGCAUGUGGUUUAAUUCGAAGCAACGCGAAGAACCUUACCAGGGCUUGACAUGGCCGUGGCGUACCUGGAGACAGGUAUUUCCCUUUGGGACGCGGUCACAGGUGGUGCAUGGUUGUCGUCAGCUCGUGUCGUGAGAUGUUGGGUUAAGUCCCGCAACGAGCGCAACCCUUAUCGCUAGUUGCUAACGCGUAAUGGCGAGCACUCUAGGGAGACUGCCGGGGACAACUCGGAGGAAGGUGGGGAUGACGUCAAAUCAUCAUGCCCCUUAUGUCCUGGGCUACACACGUGCUACAAUGGCCGGAACAGAGGGCUGCGAGGGAGCAAUCCGGAGCCAAUCCCAAAAACCCGGUCCCAGUUCGGAUUGUGGGCUGCAACCCGCCCACAUGAAGUCGGAGUUGCUAGUAAUCGCGGAUCAGCCAUGCCGCGGUGAAUGCGUUCCCGGGCCUUGUACACACCGCCCGU